RNAcentral lists this ribosomal RNA (490 nucleotides) under uncultured bacterium. RNAcentral describes it as "partial 16S ribosomal RNA". It matches the Rfam family "Bacterial small subunit ribosomal RNA", at positions 30 to 507 of the family's 1533-position model. The record is from RNAcentral.
AUUGAACGCUGGCGGCAGGCCUAACACAUGCAAGUCGAACGGUAACAGGAAGAAGCUUGCUUCUUUGCUGACGAGUGGCGGACGGGUGAGUAAUGUCUGGGAAACUGCCUGAUGGAGGGGGAUAACUACUGGAAACGGUAGCUAAUACCGCAUAACGUCGCAAGACCAAAGAGGGGGACCUUCGGGCCUCUUGCCAUCGGAUGUGCCCAGAUGGGAUUAGCUAGUAGGGGGGGUAGCGGCUCACCUAGGCGACGAUCCCUAGCUGGUCUGAGAGGAUGACCAGCCACACUGGAACUGAGACACGGUCCAGACUCCUACGGGAGGCAGCAGUGGGGAAUAUUGCACAAUGGGCGCAAGCCUGAUGCAGCCAUGCCGCGUGUAUGAAGAAGGCCUUCGGGUUGUAAAGUACUUUCAGCGGGGAGGAAGGGAGUAAAGUUAAUACCUUUGCUCAUUGACGUUACCCGCAGAAGAAGCACCGGCUAACUCCGUG